Molecule: ribosomal RNA, 631 nt
Filed under: Helicigona lapicida
Lineage: Eukaryota; Metazoa; Mollusca; Gastropoda; Stylommatophora; Helicidae
Description: partial 12S small subunit ribosomal RNA
Source: RNAcentral
CCGAAAAUGGUACCCCCUUUAAAGACCCAUUAAUUGUUGUGCUCCAUUGUAACCUGUAAAUUAUCAUGAGACUUCUCGGGUUAUCAGUUAAAAAUUUUUGUAUGUCAGGAAACUGAGCACAUGUCUCCAGGUUUUUGUGACCAAAAAAGUGCCAGCAGUCGCGGUUAUACUUUUACAUACACAAGGAAAAUAGAGACUCACAUGUACAUUCGCUUUUUAAGUGGUGAAAUGCUAAUAUGCGCAAUUUUCCUAUUACUUUCUAUAAAAACUCUACAAUAAACAGGGAUUAGAUACCCCUCUAUACAGUUCAAUCUUAUUUCUCUGGGAACUACAGUUGUUAAACCCAACCAACAUGGCGGUAACAAGUAAAUUUAGGGGAACUUACUAGAUAAAUGAUAACCACCAAGGUAAUUUCCGUUAAGUAAAAUUUUAUAUACCGUCGUCGUUGGCACACUAUUAUAGGGUGCCAAAGCCUAACAGUAAUACAAGACAGACCAUGGUGUAGACCACCUUAACGACUACGCGAGUUACAAUAAAAAUUUUCUUCUUUAAACAAUUCUAAUACUGUGAAAUGGAGGACUUAAAAGUAAAAUAUAUUAGGUUUAAUUUUUGAAUUUACAACUUGUUGUGC